Molecule: ribosomal RNA, 311 nt
Filed under: uncultured bacterium
Lineage: Bacteria
Description: bacterial SSU rRNA
Rfam family: Bacterial small subunit ribosomal RNA
Source: RNAcentral
AACGAACGCUGGCGGCAGGCUUAACACAUGCAAGUUGAACGUGAUUUAUUGGUGCUUGCACUAAUGAUGAAAGUAGCGCACGGGUGAGUAACACGUGGGAACGUACCUUGAAGAGGGGGACAACAGUUGGAAACGACUGCUAAUACCGCAUAAUGUCAUUUAAGGGCAUCCUUGGAUGACCAAAGCUUAAUGUGCUGAAAGAUGGUCUCGCGUCUGAUUAGCUGGUUAGUGAGGUAACGGCUCACCAAGGCGACGAUCAGUAGCCGGUCUGAGAGGAUGAACGGCCACAUUGGGACUGAGAUACGGCCCAG